UACUCCUACGGGAGGCAGCAGUAGGGAAUAUUGGACAAUGGGGGAAACCCUGAUCCAGCCAUCCCGCGUGUGCGAUGAAGGCCUUCGGGUUGGUAAAGGCUUUUGGGGAGAAAAAAAACGUUUUGCGUAUAAAGUUGUACAGAUUGGGUGACGGAUGAAAUCACGUCCACAACCAGCCACUCUUGCCCCCCAUAUUAUCCAUCUA
Molecule: ribosomal RNA, 205 nt
Filed under: uncultured bacterium
Lineage: Bacteria
Description: partial 16S ribosomal RNA
Rfam family: Bacterial small subunit ribosomal RNA
Source: RNAcentral